UUAAGCGACUAAGCGUACACGGUGGAUGCCCUGGCAGUCAGAGGCGAUGAAGGGCGUGCUAAUCUGCGAUAAGCGCCGGUAAGGUGAUAUGAACCGUUAUAACCGGCGAUACCCGAAUGGGGAAACCCAGUGUGACUCGUCACACUAUCAUUAACUGAAUCCAUAGGUUAAUGAGGCGAACCGGGGGAACUGAAACAUCUAAGUACCCCGAGGAAAAGAAAUCAACCGAGAUUCCCCCAGUAGCGGCGAGCGAACGGGGAGGAGCCCAGAGCCUGAAUCAGCAUGUGUGUUAGUGGAAGCGUCUGGAAAGGCGCGCGAUACAGGGUGACAGCCCCGUACACAAAAGCGCAUGUGCUGUGAGCUCGAUGAGUAGGGCGGGACACGUGGUAUCCUGUCUGAAUAUGGGGGGACCAUCCUCCAAGGCUAAAUACUCCUGACUGACCGAUAGUGAACCAGUACCGUGAGGGAAAGGCGAAAAGAACCCCGGCGAGGGGAGUGAAAAAGAACCUGAAACCGUGUACGUACAAGCAGUGGGAGCCCCACCACUAAGCCAGUGGUGAACUCCACAUACGCAUCCUUUGCUGAGGAUACGGUUAACGGAGCGAAAGCGACGUUCAACCGCAAAAGAAGCAGAGGGGGCUUAGUGGUGGGGUGACUGCGUACCUUUUGUAUAAUGGGUCAGCGACUUAUAUUCUGUAGCAAGGUUAACCGUAUAGGGGAGCCGUAGGGAAACCGAGUCUUAACCGGGCGUUAAGUUGCAGGGUAUAGACCCGAAACCCGGUGAUCUAGCCAUGGGCAGGUUGAAGGUUGGGUAACACUAACUGGAGGACCGAACCGACUAAUGUUGAAAAAUUAGCGGAUGACCUGUGGCUGGGGGUGAAAGGCCAAUCAAACCGGGAGAUAGCUGGUUCUCCCCGAAAGCUAUUUAGGUAGCGCCUCGUGAAUUCAUCUCCGGGGGUAGAGCACUGUUUCGGCUAGGGGGCCAUCCCGGCUUACCAACCCGAUGCAAACUGCGAAUACCGGAGAAUGUUAUCACGGGAGACACACGGCGGGUGCUAACGUCCGUCGUGAAGAGGGAAACAACCCAGACCGCCAGCUAAGGUCCCAAAGUCAUGGUUAAGUGGGAAACGAUGUGGGAAGGCCCAGACAGCCAGGAUGUUGGCUUAGAAGCAGCCAUCAUUUAAAGAAAGCGUAAUAGCUCACUGGUCGAGUCGGCCUGCGCGGAAGAUGUAACGGGGCUAAACCAUGCACCGAAGCUGCGGCAGCGAACGUAUCACUUAAAGCGAUUCAGCGGGUUACGAUUGACGGAGCGAAGCGACGUCAAAGCGUAUACAAAGUCGAGUCGGUUUAAGGAUACGUUCGUUGGGUAGGGGAGCGUUCUGUAAGCCUGCGAAGGUGGCCUGUGAGGGUUGCUGGAGGUAUCAGAAGUGCGAAUGCUGACAUAAGUAACGAUAAAGCGGGUGAAAAGCCCGCUCGCCGGAAGACCAAGGGUUCCUGUCCAACGUUAAUCGGGGCAGGGUGAGUCGACCCCUAAGGCGAGGCCGAAAGGCGUAGUCGAUGGGAAACGGGUUAAUAUUCCCGUACUUGGUGUUACUGCGAAGGGGGGACGGAGAAGGCUAUGUUGGCCGGGCGACGGUUGUCCCGGUUUAAGCGUGUAGGUGUGUGUUCCAGGUAAAUCCGGUUCACUUUAACACUGAGGCGUGACGACGAGGCACUACGGUGCUGAAGCAACAAAUGCCCUGCUUCCAGGAAAAGCCUCUAAGCAUCAGGUAACACGAAAUCGUACCCCAAACCGACACAGGUGGUCAGGUAGAGAAUACCAAGGCGCUUGAGAGAACUCGGGUGAAGGAACUAGGCAAAAUGGUGCCGUAACUUCGGGAGAAGGCACGCUGACACGUAGGUGAAGUGAUUUACUCAUGGAGCUGAAGUCAGUCGAAGAUACCAGCUGGCUGCAACUGUUUAUUAAAAACACAGCACUGUGCAAACACGAAAGUGGACGUAUACGGUGUGACGCCUGCCCGGUGCCGGAAGGUUAAUUGAUGGGGUCAGCGCAAGCGAAGCUCCUGAUCGAAGCCCCGGUAAACGGCGGCCGUAACUAUAACGGUCCUAAGGUAGCGAAAUUCCUUGUCGGGUAAGUUCCGACCUGCACGAAUGGCGUAAUGAUGGCCAGGCUGUCUCCACCCGAGACUCAGUGAAAUUGAACUCGCUGUGAAGAUGCAGUGUACCCGCGGCAAGACGGAAAGACCCCGUGAACCUUUACUAUAGCUUGACACUGAACAUUGAGCCUUGAUGUGUAGGAUAGGUGGGAGGCUUUGAAGUGUGGACGCCAGUCUGCGUGGAGCCGACCUUGAAAUACCACCCUUUAAUGUUUGAUGUUCUAACGUGGACCCGUUACCCGGGUUGCGGACAGUGUCUGGUGGGUAGUUUGACUGGGGCGGUCUCCUCCUAAAGAGUAACGGAGGAGCACGAAGGUUGGCUAAUCCUGGUCGGACAUCAGGAGGUUAGUGCAAUGGCAUAAGCCAGCUUGACUGCGAGCGUGACGGCGCGAGCAGGUGCGAAAGCAGGUCAUAGUGAUCCGGUGGUUCUGAAUGGAAGGGCCAUCGCUCAACGGAUAAAAGGUACUCCGGGGAUAACAGGCUGAUACCGCCCAAGAGUUCAUAUCGACGGCGGUGUUUGGCACCUCGAUGUCGGCUCAUCACAUCCUGGGGCUGAAGUAGGUCCCAAGGGUAUGGCUGUUCGCCAUUUAAAGUGGUACGCGAGCUGGGUUUAGAACGUCGUGAGACAGUUCGGUCCCUAUCUGCCGUGGGCGCUGGAGAACUGAGGGGGGCUGCUCCUAGUACGAGAGGACCGGAGUGGACGCAUCACUGGUGUUCGGGUUGUCAUGCCAAUGGCACUGCCCGGUAGCUAAAUGCGGAAGAGAUAAGUGCUGAAAGCAUCUAAGCACGAAACUUGCCCCGAGAUGAGUUCUCCCUGAGACUUAGAGUCUCCUGAAGGAACGUUGAAGACGACGACGUUGAUAGGCCGGGUGUGUAAGCGCAGCGAUGCGUUGAGCUAACCGGUACUAAUGAACCGUGAGGCUUAACCUU
RNAcentral lists this ribosomal RNA (3086 nucleotides) under Salmonella enterica subsp. enterica serovar Hartford. RNAcentral describes it as "bacterial LSU rRNA". It matches the Rfam family "Bacterial large subunit ribosomal RNA". Lineage: Bacteria; Pseudomonadati; Pseudomonadota; Gammaproteobacteria; Enterobacterales; Enterobacteriaceae. The record is from RNAcentral.